Homo sapiens (human) is the source of this 1814-nucleotide long non-coding RNA. NCBI's taxonomy places the organism in Eukaryota, Metazoa, Chordata, Mammalia, Primates, Hominidae. The record is from Ensembl.
GUCCUGGCGACAGCCGGUGUGUGAAAAGCCUGUUUCCUCCCCUAGAAAAAGCACGUUUGGCUCCGCUCUCCACUGACACGUUUUUAGCUGAGUGACGAUGGAAGCCGCUGGCUUUUAACAGACGGUCUUAACGAGCCUCUGCUCCCCGGCGACCAGCAGACGCGGGCUGACCCACGGUUUUACACACCACGUCUGCGUGGCGGCGGCCGGGCGGCCCCACGGGGCCCGGGCAGGAGGUGACGGCAGCGUUUCUCGCCGCCUUUGCUCAGCGCGCCUCUCAUCCCCUCUCUCCUGUCGACUCGCGGCUUCCUGCAGACCCUCGGCCUGUCUGCGGCCCCUCGCCCGCAGCCUCCCCAGCAGCCGAGGUUUCCUAUAGCAUUAAAAGCAGGAAAGAACCAGCCCUGCUCCCCAGGAACUGAACUUCUGUGGCUCAUCUUCAGAGAAGCCACUGUUGAGUGGGGCUCCUCGGGGGUGCUCCAGCUGCGGUUUAAUUUGCAGGCCCCAGUCGCAGAAUUUAAGAGGACAGAAGAAUGGUCUUUUGUUCCCAACAGCCUCCUUCACCACCACAACCCCACUGGCUGCCUCACCUUACGUGUGACACGCUCGUCGAACUUGCCAGCAAACCCGGGAGGAAUUGCAUUAAACCUGUCCAUCAAUCUGGAAGGACCUGUCAUCUCCACGUUGUUGUAUCUUCCAACCCACGAACGCGGCCGUGUCUCUAGGUGUGUGCUGACGUCUUUCAGCAGCAUUGCUGAGUUUUCAGCAUUGCCCAGCGCUUCCAGCACCAUGCCGGAUCCGAUGGUUAGAGCAGACGUCCUUUCUUGUUCCGGAUCUGAAUGGUGAAGGGUGAUUCCUUGCCCUCGAGGAGAAUGCUGGCUGCAGGGCUUGUACAGAUGCUCUUUAUCCAGCGGAGGAAGUUCCUCUCCUUCUCUGUUUUUCCAAGUUUAAAUCAUGAAUAGAUGUUAAACUUGUCACGGGCCUUCCCAACACUGACAGAUGUGAUCGUGUGAGUUAUCUUCGGUAGCUGGUAACGUGUGGAUCUCAUCGACUGAUUCUCAAAUACGGAACCAACCUUCAUCCCUGGAAUAAUCCCUACUUGGUCAUGGCAUAGAAUUCUUUGUUAUAUAUUGGCAAAUUCUAUUUAGUAAUUUUUUUUUUUUUUUUGAGGCAGAGUCUCACUCUGUUGCCGAGGCUGGAGUGCAGUGGCACCAUCUCUGCUUACUGCAACCUCCACCUGCCGAGUAGUUGGGAUUAUAGGCAGCCACCACCAUGCCCAGCUAAUUUUUGUAUUUUUAGCAAAGAUGGGGUUUCACCAUGUUGGCCAGGCUGGUCUUGAACUCCUGACCUCAGGUGAUCUGCUCGCCUCGGCCUCCCAAAGUGUUGGGAUUACAAGUGUGAGCCAUUGUGCCCAGUCUAUUUAGUAAUAUUUUGUUAAAAAAUUUUGUGUCUAUAUCACUGAGGGAUAUUGGCUUGUAAUAUUAUUUUCUUGUAUUAUCUUUGUGUGGUUUUGGUAUCAGAGAACCACUAGCUUCAUAAAAUAAAUUGAGGCUGGGUACAGUGGCUCAUGCUUGUAAUCCCAGCACUUUGGGAGGCUGAGGUGGGAGGACUGCCUGAGCCCAGGAGUUUGGGACCAGCCAGGGCACCAUGGCAAGAUCCUGUCUCUACAAAAACUAAAAAAAUUAGUGAGGCGUGGUGGUGUGGGCCUGUGGUCCCAGCUACCUGGGAGGCUGAGGCGGGAGGAUAAUUUGAGCUGAGGAGGUCGAGGCUACAGUGAGCCAUGUUUGUGCCAUUGCACUCCAGCCUGGGUGACAGAG